GUCCCGGCCCUAAAACGAUGAACACUUGGCGUGGCGGGUUUUACCCCCGCUGUGCCGGAGCUAACGCGUUAAGUGUUCCGCCUGGGGAGGUACGGUCGCAAGGCUGAAACUCAAAGGAAAUUGACGGGGGCCCGGCACAAGCGGUGGAGCAUGUGGUUCAAUUCGACGCAACGCGAAGAACCUUACCUGGGCUCGAAGCGCAGUGGAAUCCGGAUGAAAGUUCGGCGCCCGCAAGGGCCGCUGCGGAGGUGCUGCAUGGCUGUCGU
Molecule: ribosomal RNA, 266 nt
Filed under: uncultured bacterium
Lineage: Bacteria
Description: partial 16S ribosomal RNA
Rfam family: Bacterial small subunit ribosomal RNA
Source: RNAcentral